CUGGACGUGUAAGGGUGGUAACAUCCUGAGCUAACCAGUACUAAUAGGUCGUGAGGCUUAACCAC
RNAcentral lists this ribosomal RNA (65 nucleotides) under Nitrospirae bacterium GWD2_57_8. RNAcentral describes it as "partial 23S ribosomal RNA". The record is from RNAcentral. Lineage: Bacteria; Pseudomonadati; Nitrospirota.